GGAGGGUAACCCGGAGAAAUCCGGACUAAUACCCCAUAAUAUGGGCGCUCCGCAUGGAGAGCCCAUUAAAGAGAGCAAUUUUGGUUACAGACGAGCAUGCGCUCCAUUAGCCAGUUGGCGGGGUAACGGCCCACCAAAGCGACGAUGGAUAGGGGUUCUGAGAGGAAGGUCCCCCACAUUGGAACUGAGACACGGUCCAA
This 200-nucleotide ribosomal RNA is filed under the name uncultured bacterium. RNAcentral's name for it is "partial 16S ribosomal RNA". It matches the Rfam family "Bacterial small subunit ribosomal RNA", at positions 138 to 334 of the family's 1533-position model. The record is from RNAcentral.